Molecule: ribosomal RNA, 421 nt
Filed under: uncultured bacterium
Lineage: Bacteria
Description: bacterial SSU rRNA
Rfam family: Bacterial small subunit ribosomal RNA
Source: RNAcentral
UAAGGAAUAUUGGUCAAUGGACGCAAGUCUGAACCAGCCAUGCCGCGUGAAGGAUGAAGGUCCUCUGGAUUGUAAACUUCUUUUAUCUGGGACGAAAACGGGAUUUUUAUCUCAAUUGACGGUACCAGGGGAAUAAGCACCGGCUAACUCCGUGCCAGCAGCCGCGGUAAUACGGAGGGUGCGAGCGUUAUCCGGAUUUACUGGGUUUAAAGGGUGCGUAGGUGGGCUUAUAAGUCAGUGGUGAAAUCUCCGAGCUUAGCUUGGAAACUGCCGUUGAUACUAUAGGUCUUGAAUUAUCUGGAGGUAAGCGGAAUAGGUCAUGUAGCGGUGAAAUGCUUAGAUAUGACAUAGAACACCAAUUGCGAAGGCAGCUUACUACAUAUAAAUUGACGCUGAGGCACGAAAGCGUGGGGAUCAAACA